RNAcentral lists this ribosomal RNA (266 nucleotides) under uncultured bacterium. RNAcentral describes it as "partial 16S ribosomal RNA". It matches the Rfam family "Bacterial small subunit ribosomal RNA", at positions 88 to 354 of the family's 1533-position model. The record is from RNAcentral.
CCGGCGACCGGCGCACGGGUGAGUAACACGUAUGGAACCUGCCCGCAGCAGGGGGAUAAGCGGAAGAAAUUCCGUCUAAUACCGCGUAACAACGUUGGGAGGCAUCUCCCGAUGUUUAAAGAUUUAUCGGCUGCGGAUGGCCAUGCGGCGCAUUAGCUAGUCGGCGGGUAACGGCCCACCGAGGCGACGAUGCGUAGGGGUUCUGAGAGGAAGGUCCCCCCACACUGGUACUGAGACACGGACCAGACUCCUACGGGAGGCAGCAG